Molecule: ribosomal RNA, 256 nt
Filed under: uncultured bacterium
Lineage: Bacteria
Description: partial 16S ribosomal RNA
Rfam family: Bacterial small subunit ribosomal RNA
Source: RNAcentral
UACGUAGGGUGCAAGCGUUGUCCGGAAUUAUUGGGCGUAAAGAGCUCGUAGGCGGCUUGUCACGUCGGGUGUGAAAGCCCCGGGGCUUAACCCCCGGGCUUGCGGUCGAUACGGGCAGGCUAGAGUUCGGUAGGGGAGACUGGAAUUCCUGGUGUAGCGGUGAAAUGCGCAUAUAUCAGGAGGAACACCGGUGGCGAAGGCGGGGUCUCUGGGCCGAUACUGACGUGAGGAGCGAAAGCGUGGGGGAGCGAACAGG